GACGAACGCUGGCGGCGUGCCUAAUACAUGCAAGUAGAACGCUGAAGGCGGAGCUUGCUUCUCUGGAUGAGUUGCGAACGGGUGAGUAACGCGUAGGUAACCUGCCUGGUAGCGGGGGAUAACUAUUGGAAACGAUAGCUAAUACCGCAUAAGAGUAGAUGUUGCAUGACAUUUGCUUAAAAGGUGCAAUUGCAUCACUACCAGAUGGACCUGCGUUGUAUUAGCUAGUUGGUGGGGUAACGGCUCACCAAGGCGACGAUACAUAGCCGACCUGAGAGGGUGGUCGGCCACACUGGGACUGAGACACGGCCCAGACUCCUACAGGAGGCAGCAGUAGGGAAUCGGCGGCAAUGGGCGGAAGUCUGAGCGAGCAACGCCGCGUGAGUGAAGAAGGUUGUCGGAUCGUAAAGCUCUGUUGUAAGAGAAGAACGAGUGUGAGAGUGGAAAGUUCACACUGUGACGGUAUCUUACCAGAAAGGGACGGCUAACUACGUG
This 495-nucleotide ribosomal RNA is filed under the name uncultured bacterium. RNAcentral describes it as "partial 16S ribosomal RNA". It matches the Rfam family "Bacterial small subunit ribosomal RNA", at positions 28 to 507 of the family's 1533-position model. The record is from RNAcentral.